RNAcentral lists this long non-coding RNA (224 nucleotides) under Lathyrus oleraceus (garden pea). Its description in RNAcentral is "Pisum sativum (pea) long non-coding RNA (PSAT_LNC007654)". Lineage: Eukaryota; Viridiplantae; Streptophyta; Magnoliopsida; Fabales; Fabaceae. The record is from RNAcentral.
AAGUUGAAUGCUAUGCUAUGACAUGAUAGCAAAGUCCCAAACAGGAAAGGGGCAUCUGGCAGACCGGGGCAAGUCGUUUGACUGGUUGAGAUAAUUCAAACUGAGGUUGAAUUCGAAUAAGUGCACUGUCAGAGUGCGGGCCGGUAAGAUACUGGGGUUCGUUGUAAGAGGGGAAUCGAGGUUCAUCCUGCAAAAAAAAAAAAAAUAGUAAAGUAAAAGAAAAU